UACUGGUUAUCUUGAGUUGUAUUGAAGUAGGCGGAAUAUGUAGUGUAGCGGUGAAAUGCAUAGAUAUUACAUAGAACACCAAUUGCGAAGGCAGCUUACUAAGUACUAACUGACGCUGAUGGACGAAAGCGUGGGUAGCGAACAGGAUUAGAUACCCUGGUAGUCCACGCCGUAAACGAUGGAUACUAGCUGUUCGGGGCCUUGAGCUCUGAGCGGCUAAGCGAAAGUGAUAAGUAUCCCACCUGGGGAGUACGUUCGCAAGAAUGAAACUCAAAGGAAUUGACGGGGGCCCGCACAAGCGGUGGAGCAUGUGGUUUAAUUCGAUGAUACGCGAGGAACCUUACCAGGGCUUAAAUGUAGUCUGACAGCUUUAGAGAUAGAGUUUUCUUCGGACAGAUUACAAGGUGCUGCAUGGUUGUCGUCAGCUCGUGCCGUGAGGUGUCAGGUUAAGUCCUAUAACGAGCGCAACCCCUGUCGUUAGUUGCCAGCAUGUCAUGAUGGGGGACUCUAACGAGACUGCCGGUGCAAACCGCGAGGAAGGUGGGGAUGACGUCAAAUCAUCACGGGCCCUUACGUCCUGGGCCACACACGUGCUACAAUGGGCCGGUACAGAGAGCAGCCACGUCGCAAGGGCGGGAGCGAAAUCUAUAAAAACCGGUCACAGUUCGGAUC
This 672-nucleotide ribosomal RNA is filed under the name uncultured bacterium. Its description in RNAcentral is "bacterial SSU rRNA". It matches the Rfam family "Bacterial small subunit ribosomal RNA", at positions 631 to 1299 of the family's 1533-position model. The record is from RNAcentral.